Molecule: ribosomal RNA, 445 nt
Filed under: uncultured bacterium
Lineage: Bacteria
Description: partial 16S ribosomal RNA
Rfam family: Bacterial small subunit ribosomal RNA
Source: RNAcentral
CCUACGGGUGGCAGCAGUCGAGAAUCUUUCACAAUGGGGGAAACCCUGAUGGUGCGACGCCGCGUGGGGAAUGAAGGUCUUCGGAUUGUAAACCCCUGUCAUGUGGGAGCAAUUUAAUAAGAUAGUACCACAAGAGGAAGAGACGGCUACCUCUGUGCCAGCAGCCGCGGUAAUACAGAGGGCGCAAGCGUUGUUCGGAAUCACGGGGCGUAAAGCGUGCGUAGGCUGUUUCGUAAGUCGUGUGUGAAAGGCGCGGGAUCAACCCGCGGACUGCAAAUGAUACUGCGAGACUAGAGUAAUGGAGGGGGAACCGGAAUUCGCGGUGUAGCAGUGAAAUGCGUAGAGAUCGGGAGGAACACUCGUGGCGAAGGCGGGUUCCUGGACAUUAACUGACGCUGAGGCACGAAGGCCAGGGGAGCGAAAGGGAUUAGAUACCCGGGUAGUC